RNAcentral lists this ribosomal RNA (254 nucleotides) under uncultured bacterium. RNAcentral's name for it is "partial 16S ribosomal RNA". It matches the Rfam family "Bacterial small subunit ribosomal RNA", at positions 524 to 776 of the family's 1533-position model. The record is from RNAcentral.
UACGUAGGGGGCGAGCGUUGUCCGAAGUUACUGGGCGUAAAGCGCGCGUAGGCGGUGCUUUAAGUCCGGCGUGAAAGGUUCAGGGCUCAACCCGAACAGUGCGCUGGAGACUGGAGCGCUUGAGGACGGGAGAGGGAAGCGGAAUUCCGGGUGUAGCGGUGAAAUGCGUAGAUAUCCGGAGGAACACCGAUGGCGAAGGCAGCUUCCUGGUCCGUAUCUGACGCUGAGGUGCGAAAGCGUGGGGAGCGAACGGG